AGGACGAACGCUGGCGGCGUGCUUAACACAUGCAAGUCGAGCGAAGCCCAUCCUUCGGGGUGGUGACUGAGCGGCGAACGGGUGAGUAACACGUGGGCAACCUACCCUCAGCUCUGGGAUAACCCCGGGAAACCGGAGCUAAUACCGGAUAUGACCUUGAACGACAUCGUUCUUGGUGGAAAGUUUUUCGGCUGAGGAUGGGCCCGCGGCCUAUCAGCUUGUUGGUGAGGUAACGGCCCACCAAGGCGACGACGGGUAGCCGGCCUGAGAGGGCGAUCGGCCACACUGGGACUGAGACACGGCCCAGACUCCUACGGGAGGCAGCAGUGGGGAAUAUUGCGCAAUGGGCGAAAGCCUGACGCAGCGACGCCGCGUGAGGGAUGAAGGCCUUCGGGUUGUAAACCUCUUUCAGCAGGGACGAUUGUGACGGUACCUGCAGAGAGCCCGGCCAACUACGCGCCAGCAGCCGC
RNAcentral lists this ribosomal RNA (470 nucleotides) under uncultured bacterium. Its description in RNAcentral is "SSU rRNA". It matches the Rfam family "Bacterial small subunit ribosomal RNA", at positions 26 to 518 of the family's 1533-position model. The record is from RNAcentral.